RNAcentral lists this ribosomal RNA (301 nucleotides) under uncultured bacterium. RNAcentral describes it as "partial 16S ribosomal RNA". It matches the Rfam family "Bacterial small subunit ribosomal RNA", at positions 509 to 807 of the family's 1533-position model. The record is from RNAcentral.
CAGUCGCCGCGGUAAUACAGAGGGUGCGAGCGUUAAUCGGAUUUACUGGGCGUAAAGCGUGCGUAGGCGGCUUUUUAAGUCGGAUGUGAAAUCCCUGAGCUUAACUUAGGAAUUGCAUUCGAUACUGGGAAGCUAGAGUAUGGGAAAGGAUGGUAGAAUUCCAGGUGUAGCGGUGAAAUGCGUAGAGAUCUGGAGGAAUACCGAUGGCGAAGGCAGCCAUCUGGCCUAAUACUGACGCUGAGGUACGAAAGCAUGGGGAGCAAACAGGAUUAGAUACCCCCGUAGUCCCUGUCUCUUAUAC